RNAcentral lists this ribosomal RNA (467 nucleotides) under uncultured bacterium. Its description in RNAcentral is "partial 16S ribosomal RNA". It matches the Rfam family "Bacterial small subunit ribosomal RNA", at positions 28 to 507 of the family's 1533-position model. The record is from RNAcentral.
GACGAACGCUGGCGGCGUGCUUAACACAUGCAAGUCGAACGGAAGGCCCUGCUUUUGUGGGGUGCUCGAGUGGCGAACGGGUGAGUAACACGUGAGUAACCUGCCCUUGACUUUGGGAUAACUUCAGGAAACUGGGGCUAAUACCGGAUAGGAGCUCCUGCUGCCUGGUGGGGGUUGGAAAGUUUCGGCGGUUGGGGAUGGACUCGCGGCUUAUCAGCUUGUUGGUGGGGUAGUGGCUUACCAAGGCUUUGACGGGUAGCCGGCCUGAGAGGGUGACCGGCCACAUUGGGACUGAGAUACGGCCCAGACUCCUACGGGAGGCAGCAGUGGGGAAUAUUGCACAAUGGGCGGAAGCCUGAUGCAGCAACGCCGCGUGCGGGAUGACGGCCUUCGGGUUGUAAACCGCUUUCGCCUGUGACGAAGCGUGAGUGACGGUAAUGGGUAAAGAAGCACCGGCUAACUACGUG